Molecule: small nuclear RNA, 107 nt
Filed under: Papio anubis (olive baboon)
Lineage: Eukaryota; Metazoa; Chordata; Mammalia; Primates; Cercopithecidae
Source: RNAcentral
UUGUACAUGAUGUGAGAAAUAUACGAAAAUUGGAACAAUACAGAGAAGAUUAGUAUGGCCCCCGCGCAAGGAUGACACACAAAUUCGAGAAGCAGUUCCAUAUUUUU